GGUUCCACAGUGUAGCAGUUAGCACACCUAUUUUACACACAGAAGAUCCUGGGUUCGUGCCCCAGUGGAGUCA
Molecule: transfer RNA, 73 nt
Filed under: Pteropus alecto (black flying fox)
Lineage: Eukaryota; Metazoa; Chordata; Mammalia; Chiroptera; Pteropodidae
Rfam family: tRNA
About the family: Transfer RNA (tRNA) molecules are approximately 80 nucleotides in length. Their secondary structure includes four short double-helical elements and three loops (D, anti-codon, and T loops).
Source: Rfam by way of RNAcentral